This 889-nucleotide long non-coding RNA is filed under the name Panax ginseng (ginseng). RNAcentral describes it as "long non-coding RNA (PGIN_LNC016058)". The record is from RNAcentral. Lineage: Eukaryota; Viridiplantae; Streptophyta; Magnoliopsida; Apiales; Araliaceae.
GUUAGUAGAUUGUAGAUAGUUUGUGUUUUAUUGUUGGUUAAGUGUUGCAUUUAGGAUUGCAUAUUAAUUCCAGCUGCUUAAUAGUUACGUAUGUUUAGGGCCAAUGAUGAGAUUAAAAUUGCAUGAACGAGUCUAGUAAGGAUUGUUAAGCUAGUGAUAUGAUUUUCUUGACAUAAUUGAAAUCUUUAUCUGUUUAACACUGAUAUUAUCAGAAUAGCACAUUUUGAAAAAUGACCAUGUAGGCUAAGAAAGUUAAAAUGGAUAGAUAAUAGAGUUCUAAAGGAUGAAUGCCAGUGAAAUGAAGGAACAAUUUGAAUAGCUAGUGAAGACUGAAUUUAGACAUAAACUCAAGUUUGGGGAAAAAAUAUUUGGAGUAUAUAAGCUUUAAAAAAAAUAAAAAAAAUAAACAUUGUGGCGUGCUUGUCUAGUUUUGUGGCCUUUGUUACUUGAGUAAGUAAGCCCGAAGGGAUUGUCUUUACACCUAGCGCCCUAAGGUCUUAAUGGCUUGGGACUCGUUGGUCGAAAGCUCGUUAAGGUAAAACUGGAAAGCCUAAGGGAAUUGGACAAUGCAUGGUCAUGAGAAAAAAAACCCCGUUAAUGAAAAAAAAUAAAAAAAUAAAGCAUAAGUAUUCCAUUUUGACCCUUGGACUUUGGUAAUUGUUUGAUUUUAGUUGAAUCAAGUUUAUUUGAGGAGUUCUCGAGUUUACAUUAUAUGAUGCCUUCAAAGAAAUCUAUUAUCUUUCAUAUUUUGCUUUUUAUUGGUUAGCAUGGUUGUUGAACACACACACAAAAUAUCAGUAAUAACAGAUUUAGAUUUAUUGAUUGUUGGGAUAUUAUUGAUCUGCCUUAACAUGAUAUAUCAACAUGUUUUUGUGAUUUUUCUGAGGCC